Thalassophryne amazonica is the source of this 876-nucleotide long non-coding RNA. RefSeq lists it as uncharacterized. Lineage: Eukaryota; Metazoa; Chordata; Actinopteri; Batrachoidiformes; Batrachoididae. The record is from RefSeq and is a predicted model, not a curated record. The transcript is spliced from 3 exons.
AUUUUCUGCCGCUUAUUUGGUUCCAGGUCACGGUGGCAUGAAGGACAAGCACCUCAUUCCAUGCUUCCCUAUCCUUGGCCAAGUCCUCUAAUUCUUCUUGGGAGAUCCUCAAGUGUUCCCAAGCAAGAUGGGAAACAUAAACCCUCCAGCGUAUUCUGAGUCUAGCACAUUGUAAUGUUUGGGAUGGACUACACACUGGAGUUGUGUGUUUUAGAGUUUCUUUGUUCCUGUAGUUGUCAAUCAAAAGUCUGAGGUAACAAUUUACGCUGUCAACCUGAAAAAUGGCAGAAUAAAAAUGUUAGCGUUCUGUAGGCGUCUGUGUUACAGUUGUAUCACUAUGUUUAGCUGACUGUGCAACAUUGUGUUUGUCGUUUGACAGUCAUUAUUUCCAUUUCCCACAGCGGCUGACUUUGAGGGAAGCUGGUCAAACAGCAGAGAGGAACACAGUGCUGAUAUGCCACAGUUGGUGUCCAGAUCUGCAUGCCUUUUCCUCACUAAAUGCCUUCCUGGUUUCACACUGUCCAAUCAAAUAAGGAAGGACCGGUGCUCUGUGGACUACCCCCAUUAUAUCCCAAAGACUUGUCUGCCACCUGCUGGAUGGUUAGUGGAUGCUGUAUAAAUGAUAAAAAAAAAAAAUUCUGAACAGCUUUGAUUAAACUUACAUUUUUGUCUGCUUCUUGAGCACUGGACAAGUUGUGUACUCAUCACUGCCCUCCGUCCAGUGACUAAGCUGGCGCUGAUGGCUCACCACAGCAGAUCCAAUAUGGUUCUACCUAUUGAGUGGGAGCAGAUCUUACAGCAGAUGCUCUUCCUGAUGCAGCUCCACAUUACAAGAAGGAUGGGUAUGGGGGGGGUUGAACCAGGAACUUCACCAGG